AUUGAACGCUGGCGGCAGGCCUAACACAUGCAGGUCGAACGGUAACAGGAAGAAGCUUGCUUCUUUGCUGACGAGUGGCGGACGGGUGAGUAAUGUCUGGGAAACUGCCUGAUGGAGGGGGAUAACUACUGGAAGCGGUAGCUAAUACCGCAUAACGUCGCAAGACCAAAGAGGGGGACCUUCGGGCCUCUUGCCAUCGGAUGUGCCCAGAUGGGAUUAGCUAGUAGGUGGGGUAACGGCUCACCUAGGCGACGAUCCCUAGCUGGUCUGAGAGGAUGACCAGCCACACUGGAACUGAGACACGGUCCAGACUCCUACGGGAGGCAGCAGUGGGGAAUAUUGCACAAUGGGCGCAAGCCUGAUGCAGCCAUGCCGCGUGUAUGAAGAAGGCCUUCGGGUUGUAAAGUACUUUCAGCGGGGAGGAAGGGAGUAAAGUUAAUACCUUUACUCAUUGACGUUACCCGCAGAAGAAGCACCGGCUAACUCCGUG
Molecule: ribosomal RNA, 490 nt
Filed under: uncultured bacterium
Lineage: Bacteria
Description: partial 16S ribosomal RNA
Rfam family: Bacterial small subunit ribosomal RNA
Source: RNAcentral